RNAcentral lists this ribosomal RNA (445 nucleotides) under uncultured soil bacterium. RNAcentral's name for it is "bacterial SSU rRNA". It matches the Rfam family "Bacterial small subunit ribosomal RNA", at positions 26 to 518 of the family's 1533-position model. The record is from RNAcentral.
AGAACGAACGCUGGCGGCAUGCCUAAUACAUGCAAGUCGAACGAACACUUCGGUGUUAGUGGCGCACGGGUGCGUAACGCGUGGGAAUCUGCCCUUGGGUUCGGAAUAACAGUUGGAAACGACUGCUAAUACCGGAUGAUGACGAAAGUCCAAAGAUUUAUCGCCCAGGGAUGAGCCCGCGUAGGAUUAGCUAGUUGGUGAGGUAAAGGCUCACCAAGGCGACGAUCCUUAGCUGGUCUGAGAGGAUGAUCAGCCACACUGGGACUGAGACACGGCCCAGACUCCUACGGGAGGCAGCAGUAGGGAAUAUUGGACAAUGGGCGCAAGCCUGAUCCAGCAAUGCCGCGUGAGUGAUGAAGGCCUUAGGGUUGUAAAGCUCUUUUACCGAGAUGAUAAUGACAGUAUCGGAGAAUAAGCCCCGGACUAACUCCGUGCCAGCAGCCGC